RNAcentral lists this ribosomal RNA (564 nucleotides) under Streptomyces sp. 340G03. Its description in RNAcentral is "bacterial SSU rRNA". It matches the Rfam family "Bacterial small subunit ribosomal RNA", at positions 93 to 671 of the family's 1533-position model. Lineage: Bacteria; Bacillati; Actinomycetota; Actinomycetes; Kitasatosporales; Streptomycetaceae. The record is from RNAcentral.
UAGUGGCGAACGGGUGAGUAACACGUGGGCAAUCUGCCCUUCACUCUGGGACAAGCCCUGGAAACGGGGUCUAAUACCGGAUAAUACUUUNUNCCGCAUGGGGGAAGGUUGAAAGCUCCGGCGGUGAAGGAUGAGCCCGCGGCCUAUCAGCUUGUUGGUGGGGUGAUGGCCUACCAAGGCGACGACGGGUAGCCGGCCUGAGAGGGCGACCGGCCACACUGGGACUGAGACACGGCCCAGACUCCUACGGGAGGCAGCAGUGGGGAAUAUUGCACAAUGGGCGAAAGCCUGAUGCAGCGACGCCGCGUGAGGGAUGACGGCCUUCGGGUUGUAAACCUCUUUCAGCAGGGAAGAAGCGAAAGUGACGGUACCUGCAGAAGAAGCGCCGGCUAACUACGUGCCAGCAGCCGCGGUAAUACGUAGGGCGCAAGCGUUGUCCGGAAUUAUUGGGCGUAAAGAGCUCGUAGGCGGCUUGUCACGUCGGAUGUGAAAGCCCGGGGCUUAACCCCGGGUCUGCAUUCGAUACGGGCAGGCUAGAGUGUGGUAGGGGAGAUCGGAAUUCCU